GACAGAGGGUGCAAACGUUGUUCGGAAUUACUGGGCGUAAAGCGCGUGUAGGCGGCUCGGCAAGUCGGAUGUGAAAGCCCUGGGCUCAACCUAGGAAGUGCAUUCGAAACUGCAGAGCUUGAGUUCUGGAGAGGAAGGCGGAAUUCUCGGUGUAGAGGUGAAAUUCGUAGAUAUCGAGAGGAACACCUGUGGCGAAGGCGGCCUUCUGGACAGUGACUGACGCUGAGGAGCGAAAGCGUGGGGAGCGAACAGG
RNAcentral lists this ribosomal RNA (253 nucleotides) under uncultured bacterium. RNAcentral describes it as "partial 16S ribosomal RNA". It matches the Rfam family "Bacterial small subunit ribosomal RNA", at positions 524 to 776 of the family's 1533-position model. The record is from RNAcentral.